CAGAGGGUGCAAACGUUGCUCGGAAUCACUGGGCGUAAAGGGCGUGUAGGCGGGAAGGAAAGUCAGAUGUGAAAUCCCUGGGCUCAACCCAGGAACUGCAUUUGAAACUCCUUUCUUGAGUGCUGGAGAGGAAAGCAGAAUUCCUGGUGUAGAGGUGAAAUUCGUAGAUAUCAGGAGGAACACCGGUGGCGAAGGCGGCUUUCUGGACAGUAACUGACGCUGAGACGCGAAAGCGUGGGGAGCAAACAGGAUU
This 253-nucleotide ribosomal RNA is filed under the name uncultured bacterium. RNAcentral describes it as "partial 16S ribosomal RNA". It matches the Rfam family "Bacterial small subunit ribosomal RNA", at positions 526 to 779 of the family's 1533-position model. The record is from RNAcentral.